ACGGUAGACUACUUUCGGGUUGUUGAGAGUGGCGCACGGGUGCCUUACGCGUAUGCAACCUACCUUGUACAGGGGGAUAGCCCGGAGAAAUUCGGAUUAAUACCCCAUAGCAUUACCAGAUGGCAUCUGAAGGUAAUUAAAGAUUUAUCGGUACAAGAUGGGCAUGCGUGACAUUAGUUAGUUGGUAGGGUAACGGCCUACCAAGACUAUGAUGUCUAGGGGUUCUGAGAGGAUGAUCCCCCACACUGGUACUGAGAUACGGACCAGACUCCUACGGGAGGCAGCAGUAGGGAAUAUUGGUCAACGGGCGAGAGCCUGAACCAGCCAUGCCGCGUGCAGGAAGACGGCCUUCUGGGUUGUAAACUGCUUUUAUACGGGAAGAAAAGACCCUUGCGAGGGAGAUUGCCGGUACCGUAUGAAUAAGCACCGGCUAACUCCGUGCCAGCAGCCGCGGUAAUACGGAGGGUGCAAGCGUUGUCCGGAUUUAUUGGGUUUAAAGGGUGCGUAGGCGGGCCUUUAAGUCAGUGGUGAAAGCCUGCAGCUUAACUGUAGAACUGCCAUUGAUACUGGAGGCCCUGAGUGUACUAGAGGUAGGCGGAAUUUAUGGUGUAGCGGUGAAAUGCAUAGAUACCAUAAAGAACACCGAUAGCGUAGGCAGCUUACUGGAGUACAACUGACGCUGAGGCACGAAAGCAUGGGGAGCGAACAGGAUUAGAUACCCUGGUAGUCCAUGCCGUAAACGAUGAUUACUCGAUGUUGGCGAUACACUGUCAGCGUCCAAGCGAAAGCGUUAAGUAAUCCACCUGGGGAGGACGCUCCCA
Molecule: ribosomal RNA, 821 nt
Filed under: uncultured Bacteroidota bacterium
Lineage: Bacteria; Pseudomonadati; Bacteroidota
Description: bacterial SSU rRNA
Rfam family: Bacterial small subunit ribosomal RNA
Source: RNAcentral